Molecule: ribosomal RNA, 171 nt
Filed under: uncultured Rhodobacterales bacterium
Lineage: Bacteria; Pseudomonadati; Pseudomonadota; Alphaproteobacteria; Rhodobacterales
Description: partial 16S ribosomal RNA
Rfam family: Bacterial small subunit ribosomal RNA
Source: RNAcentral
ACCCCUACGGGGGGCAGCAGUGGGGAAUCUUAGACAAUGGGCGCAAGCCUGAUCUAGCGAUGCCGCGUGAGUGACGAAGGUCUUAGGAUCGUAAAGCUCUUUCGCCUGUGAUGAUAAUGACGGUACCCGGAGAAGAAGCCCCGGCUAACUCCGUGCCAGCAGCCGCGGUAA